AAACUUAAAGGAAUUGACGGGGGCCCGCACAAGCGGUGGAGCAUGUGGUUUAAUUCGACGCAACGCGAAGAACCUUACCUGGGCUCGAACGGCUUAAGACCGCCGUAGAAAUACGGUCUUUCCGCAAGGAACUUGAGUCGAGGUGCUGCAUGGCUGUCGUCAGCUCGUGUCGUGAGAUGUUGGGUUAAGUCCCGCAACGAGCGCAACCCUUGCCCUGUUUUGCCAUCAUUAAGUUGGGAACUAUCAGGGGACCGCCAGCGAUAAGUUGGAGGAAGGUGGGGAUGACGUCAAGUCAUCAUGGCCUUUAUGUCCAGGGCUACACACGUGCUACAAUGGACGGUACAAUGCGCUGCCAACCCGCGAGGGGAGCAAAUCGCAAAAAACCGUUCUCAGUUCGGAUUGCAGGCUGCAACUCGCCUGCAUGAAGCUGGAAUCGCUAGUAAUGGCAUAUCAGAAUGAUGCCGUGAAUACGUUCCCGGGCCUUGUACACACCGCCCGUCACAUCACGAAAGUGGAUUGUACUAGAAGUCUGCAGGCUAACCCGCAAGGGAGGCAGCGGCCCAAGGUAUGAUUCAUGAUUGGGGUGAAGUCGUAACAAGGUAGCCGUAGGAGAACCUGCGGCUGGAUCACCUCCUUUAUG
This 640-nucleotide ribosomal RNA is filed under the name uncultured Bryobacter sp. RNAcentral describes it as "bacterial SSU rRNA". It matches the Rfam family "Bacterial small subunit ribosomal RNA", at positions 897 to 1533 of the family's 1533-position model. Lineage: Bacteria; Pseudomonadati; Acidobacteriota; Terriglobia; Bryobacterales; Bryobacteraceae. The record is from RNAcentral.